Molecule: ribosomal RNA, 498 nt
Filed under: Trapeliopsis bisorediata
Lineage: Eukaryota; Fungi; Ascomycota; Lecanoromycetes; Trapeliales; Trapeliaceae
Description: eukaryotic LSU rRNA
Rfam family: 5.8S ribosomal RNA (bases 181-334)
Source: RNAcentral
GAUCAUUACCGAGAUAGGGUCCCCUGGGCCCGAACCUCCACCCAAUGCGUACUUACCUUUUGUUGCUUUGGCGGGCCGCGGGGCCCCCGCGCCCCCCGUCGACUUCGGUGGACGAGCGCCCGUCAGAGACCCCUCAAACCCAGUUAAUCAGUGACGUCCGAGCAACGAUAAAUCAGUUAAAACUUUCAACAACGGAUCUCUUGGUUCUGGCAUCGAUGAAGAACGCAGCGAAAUGCGAUAAGUAAUGUGAAUUGCAGAAUUCAGUGAAUCAUCGAAUCUUUGAACGCACAUUGCGCCCUCUGGUAUUCCGGGGGGCAUGCCUGUUCGAGCGUCAUUGCACCCCUCGAGCCCAGCUCGGUAUUGGAGGCCGCCCCGGGGGCGCCCCCGAAAAUCAGCGGCGACGCGUCCGGCCCUCGAGCGUAUUAAAACAUCACGUUCCGCUACGAUGGGUCCGGGCGGGUCCGCCGGACAAACCCUUUAAAUUUCUAUGAUUGACCU